RNAcentral lists this ribosomal RNA (1555 nucleotides) under Lactobacillus acidophilus. RNAcentral's name for it is "bacterial SSU rRNA". It matches the Rfam family "Bacterial small subunit ribosomal RNA". The record is from RNAcentral. Lineage: Bacteria; Bacillati; Bacillota; Bacilli; Lactobacillales; Lactobacillaceae.
AGAGUUUGAUCCUGGCUCAGGACGAACGCUGGCGGCGUGCCUAAUACAUGCAAGUCGAGCGAGCUGAACCAACAGAUUCACUUCGGUGAUGACGUUGGGAACGCGAGCGGCGGAUGGGUGAGUAACACGUGGGGAACCUGCCCCAUAGUCUGGGAUACCACUUGGAAACAGGUGCUAAUACCGGAUAAGAAAGCAGAUCGCAUGAUCAGCUUAUAAAAGGCGGCGUAAGCUGUCGCUAUGGGAUGGCCCCGCGGUGCAUUAGCUAGUUGGUAGGGUAACGGCCUACCAAGGCAAUGAUGCAUAGCCGAGUUGAGAGACUGAUCGGCCACAUUGGGACUGAGACACGGCCCAAACUCCUACGGGAGGCAGCAGUAGGGAAUCUUCCACAAUGGACGAAAGUCUGAUGGAGCAACGCCGCGUGAGUGAAGAAGGUUUUCGGAUCGUAAAGCUCUGUUGUUGGUGAAGAAGGAUAGAGGUAGUAACUGGCCUUUAUUUGACGGUAAUCAACCAGAAAGUCACGGCUAACUACGUGCCAGCAGCCGCGGUAAUACGUAGGUGGCAAGCGUUGUCCGGAUUUAUUGGGCGUAAAGCGAGCGCAGGCGGAAGAAUAAGUCUGAUGUGAAAGCCCUCGGCUUAACCGAGGAACUGCAUCGGAAACUGUUUUUCUUGAGUGCAGAAGAGGAGAGUGGAACUCCAUGUGUAGCGGUGGAAUGCGUAGAUAUAUGGAAGAACACCAGUGGCGAAGGCGGCUCUCUGGUCUGCAACUGACGCUGAGGCUCGAAAGCAUGGGUAGCGAACAGGAUUAGAUACCCUGGUAGUCCAUGCCGUAAACGAUGAGUGCUAAGUGUUGGGAGGUUUCCGCCUCUCAGUGCUGCAGCUAACGCAUUAAGCACUCCGCCUGGGGAGUACGACCGCAAAGGUUGAACUCAAAGGAAUUGACGGGGCCCGCACAAGCGGUGGAGCAUGUGGUUUAAUUCGAAGCAACGCGAAGAACCUUACCAGGUCUUGACAUCUAGUGCAAUCCGUAGAGAUGCGGAGUUCCCUUCGGGGACACUAAGACAGGUGGUGCAUGGCUGUCGUCAGCUCGUGUCGUGAGAUGUUGGGUUAAGUCCCGCAACGAGCGCAACCCUUGUCAUUAGUUGCCAGCAUUAAGUUGGGCACUCUAAUGAGACUGCCGGUGACAAACCGGAGGAAGGUGGGGAUGACGUCAAGUCAUCAUGCCCCUUAUGACCUGGGCUACACACGUGCUACAAUGGACAGUACAACGAGGAGCAAGCCUGCGAAGGCAAGCGAAUCUCUUAAAGCUGUUCUCAGUUCGGACUGCAGUCUGCAACUCGACUGCACGAAGCUGGAAUCGCUAGUAAUCGCGGAUCAGCACGCCGCGGUGAAUACGUUCCCGGGCCUUGUACACACCGCCCGUCACACCAUGGGAGUCUGCAAUGCCCAAAGCCGGUGGCCUAACCUUCGGGAAGGAGCCGUCUAAGGCAGGGCAGAUGACUGGGGUGAAGUCGUAACAAGGUAGCCGUAGGAGAACCUGCGGCUGGAUCACCUCCUU